UCUCCAUUCGUAAACCCCAUCUCACAUUUAUAUCUUCCCCUUUCACCAGUUGUAAUUUCAGCUUCCACUGUCACCAAUGUGGGGUGCGUUCAGAAAGGUUUAGGAGUGGAGCGUACGCACGUUGUGGUGGUCGGAAGUUGAAAUAAGCGGUGUUGCGGCGGGCUUAUUGGGUGAUAAAUGCUGCAAAGGAUGAUUAGGAUUGGGAAGGGCCAUUGCGUCACUUGCCAUCAUGACAACAACUGUGGACAUGGUUGGUCUAUCAGCUGCAUCUUCUUGAACACACAAUAAACCAAUGUGUAUGCAUUUCAUAACUUCACUGGCUUUGUGUGUCUUUUCCAGCAUUGGAUCCAACAUUUCCAAGCUUUUUCCUUCACACCAAAGUCUCCAACUCUGUAUGCAAAGAGAAAAUUGAAAUGAUAUUAUUUAGAGACAGACACAAAAAAAAUGAUGUUAUACAAAUUAUUGUAUGUGUAUCACACUAAAAUGUUUAGAAAUUCCAAAGAAUAUCGCUUUACCAGCA
This is a long non-coding RNA of Vigna angularis (adzuki bean), 520 nucleotides long. RefSeq lists it as uncharacterized. The record is from RefSeq and is a predicted model, not a curated record. The transcript has 2 exons. NCBI's taxonomy places the organism in Eukaryota, Viridiplantae, Streptophyta, Magnoliopsida, Fabales, Fabaceae.